AUUGAACGCUGGCGGCAUGCUUUACACAUGCAAGUCGAACGGUAACAGGCCUUCGGGUGCUGACGAGUGGCGAACGGGUGAGUAAUGCAUCGGAACGUACCCAGAGGUGGGGGAUAACGCAGCGAAAGCUGUGCUAAUACCGCAUGUGAUCUGAGGAUGAAAGCGGGGGACCGAGCAGCAAUGUUUGGCCUCGCGCCUUUGGAGCGGCCGAUGUCGGAUUAGCUAGUUGGUGGGGUAAAGGCCUACCAAGGCGACGAUCCGUAGCUGGUCUGAGAGGACGACCAGCCACACUGGGACUGAGACACGGCCCAGACUCCUACGGGAGGCAGCAAUGGGGAAUUUUGGACAAUGGGCGCAAGCCUGAUCCAGCAAUACCGCGUGCGGGAAGAAGGCCUUCGGGUUGUAAACCGCUUUUGGCAGGAACGAAACGGUGUCCGCUAAUACCGGGCGCUAAUGACGGUACCUGCAGAAUAAGCACCGGCUAACUACGUG
Molecule: ribosomal RNA, 492 nt
Filed under: uncultured bacterium
Lineage: Bacteria
Description: partial 16S ribosomal RNA
Rfam family: Bacterial small subunit ribosomal RNA
Source: RNAcentral